Molecule: ribosomal RNA, 2052 nt
Filed under: Escherichia albertii
Lineage: Bacteria; Pseudomonadati; Pseudomonadota; Gammaproteobacteria; Enterobacterales; Enterobacteriaceae
Description: partial 23S ribosomal RNA
Rfam family: Bacterial large subunit ribosomal RNA
Source: RNAcentral
UUUCGGCAAGGGGGUCAUCCCGACUUACCAACCCGAUGCAAACUGCGAAUACCGGAGAAUGUUAUCACGGGAGACACACGGCGGGUGCUAACGUCCGUCGUGAAGAGGGAAACAACCCAGACCGCCAGCUAAGGUCCCAAAGUCAUGGUUAAGUGGGAAACGAUGUGGGAAGGCCCAGACAGCCAGGAUGUUGGCUUAGAAGCAGCCAUCAUUUAAAGAAAGCGUAAUAGCUCACUGGUCGAGUCGGCCUGCGCGGAAGAUGUAACGGGGCUAAACCAUGCACCGAAGCUGCGGCAGCGACGCUGAUGCGUUGUUGGGUAGGGGAGCGUUCUGUAAGCCUGUGAAGGUGUGCUGUGAGGCAUGCUGGAGGUAUCAGAAGUGCGAAUGCUGACAUAAGUAACGAUAAAGCGGGUGAAAAGCCCGCUCGCCGGAAGACCAAGGGUUCCUGUCCAACGUUAAUCGGGGCAGGGUGAGUCGACCCCUAAGGCGAGGCCGAAAGGCGUAGUCGAUGGGAAACAGGUUAAUAUUCCUGUACUUGGUGUUACUGCGAAGGGGGGACGGAGAAGGCUAUGUUGGCCGGGCGACGGUUGUCCCGGUUUAAGCGUGUAGGCUGGUUUUCCAGGCAAAUCCGGAGAAUCAAGGCUGAGGCGUGAUGACGAGGCACUACGGUGCUGAAGCAACAAAUGCCCUGCUUCCAGGAAAAGCCUCUAAGCAUCAGGUAACAUCAAAUCGUACCCCAAACCGACACAGGUGGUCAGGUAGAGAAUACCAAGGCGCUUGAGAGAACUCGGGUGAAGGAACUAGGCAAAAUGGUGCCGUAACUUCGGGAGAAGGCACGCUGAUGGUAGGUGAAGCGACUUGCUCGUGGAGCUGAAAUCAGUCGAAGAUACCAGCUGGCUGCAACUGUUUAUUAAAAACACAGCACUGUGCAAACACGAAAGUGGACGUAUACGGUGUGACGCCUGCCCGGUGCCGGAAGGUUAAUUGAUGGGGUCAGCGCAAGCGAAGCUCUUGAUCGAAGCCCCGGUAAACGGCGGCCGUAACUAUAACGGUCCUAAGGUAGCGAAAUUCCUUGUCGGGUAAGUUCCGACCUGCACGAAUGGCGUAAUGAUGGCCAGGCUGUCUCCACCCGAGACUCAGUGAAAUUGAACUCGCUGUGAAGAUGCAGUGUACCCGCGGCAAGACGGAAAGACCCCGUGAACCUUUACUAUAGCUUGACACUGAACACUGGUCCUUGAUGUGUAGGAUAGGUGGGAGGCUUUGAAGUGUGGACGCCAGUCUGCAUGGAGCCGUCCUUGAAAUACCACCCUUUAAUGGCUGGUGUUCUAACGUUGGCCCCUUAUCGGGGUUGCGGACAGUGUCUGGUGGGUAGUUUGACUGGGGCGGUCUCCUCCUAAAGAGUAACGGAGGAGCACGAAGGUUGGCUAAUCCUGGUCGGACAUCAGGAGGUUAGUGCAAUGGCAUAAGCCAGCUUGACUGCGAGCGUGACGGCGCGAGCAGGUGCGAAAGCAGGUCAUAGUGAUCCGGUGGUUCUGAAUGGAAGGGCCAUCGCUCAACGGAUAAAAGGUACUCCGGGGAUAACAGGCUGAUACCGCCCAAGAGUUCAUAUCGACGGCGGUGUUUGGCACCUCGAUGUCGGCUCAUCACAUCCUGGGGCUGAAGUAGGUCCCAAGGGUAUGGCUGUUCGCCAUUUAAAGUGGUACGCGAGCUGGGUUUAGAACGUCGUGAGACAGUUCGGUCCCUAUCUGCCGUGGGCGCUGGAGAACUGAGGGGGGCUGCUCCUAGUACGAGAGGACCGGAGUGGACGCAUCACUGGUGUUCGGGUUGUCAUGCCAAUGGCACUGCCCGGUAGCUAAAUGCGGAAGAGAUAAGUGCUGAAAGCAUCUAAGCACGAAACUUGCCCCGAGAUGAGUUCUCCCUGAGACUUUAAGUCUCCUGAAGGAACGUUGAAGACGACGACGUUGAUAGGCCGGGUGUGUAAGCGCAGCGAUGCGUUGAGCUAACCGGUACUAAUGAACCGUGAGGCUUAACCUUACAACGCCGAAGGUGUUU